UACGUAGGGACCUAGCGUUGUCCGGAAUCAUUGGGCGUAAAGCGCGCGUAGGCGGCCCGGUAAGUCCGUUGUAAAAGUCGAAGGCUCAACCUUCGAAAGCCGAUGGAUACUGCCGGGCUAGAGUCCGGAAGAGGCGAGUAGAAUUCCUGGUGUAGCGGUGGAAUGCGCAGAUAUCAGGAGGAAUACCCAUAGCGAAGGCAGCUCGCUGGGACGGUACUGACGCUGAGGCGCGAAAGCGUGGGAGCGAACAGG
This 252-nucleotide ribosomal RNA is filed under the name uncultured bacterium. RNAcentral describes it as "partial 16S ribosomal RNA". It matches the Rfam family "Bacterial small subunit ribosomal RNA", at positions 524 to 776 of the family's 1533-position model. The record is from RNAcentral.